AUGAACCAGACCCCAGCCCGCACAGGGACCGCUCACUGGGGCUGUCCCAGAGACGUCCUGGUGGCCGCAGGGCAUGGCCCUGGCAAGCCUCGAUGUGCUGGGACUCCUCUGGGAUUUUGGGAGGGGCCCAGGGCACACGGCCAUAGGGCUCUGAGCCCACCCCAGGUCACUCUCUUGGGGCUCUCGGGGACUUCCUGGGCUAUUGGCGUGCCAGGGGGACCUCAGGGCCUUGUGAAGUCUCAGAGCUCCCUGGGGUUAUCCCAAGGUCUCGGGGUGCUGACAGGGCUCUGCGACGUCCCCAGGAUGAGUGCUGUCCCCAGGUCCCGGCUUUCAUCCCGGGCAUCCCUCAGGGCCGUGCCAGGCCUUGGGGGGGGACCCCACCAGCCCCACGCCCGUCCCGGGCUCCCCCCAAACUCUCCCUUGGGCCGGGGUCCCCAAACGUUCCCCCCAGGCCCCUCCCAGAGACCCGCAGCGCCGGCCCGGCCCCCGGCGGCCCCGGUUGUCCCGGGGGCGGAGCGGGGCGGGGUGGCGGCGGCGGAAGCGGGCGGCGGCGGCGGCGAUGGCGCUGCGGAGCCCCGGGCGGCGGCGGGCGGCGAUGCCGGGAUAAGGCGGGCGGCCAUGGCGCAGGGAGCCGGCCCGGCGCUGCGGCUGCUCCCGGCGCUGCUGCAGCUCCUGGUGCUCCUGCAGCUCCUGGUGCUCCCCGCCGGUCACGGCAACAGCACCGGCUCCGGUUGAGGCAGAUGGGCAGGAGCUGGCGCCCGAGUGGGCUGGAAGAGGGUUUGGCAGCGUGAGCGGAGCAGUGGGCAGCUCUUCGCGGUGGCAUGCCCGGGGCUCCCACCGUGCAUAUGGCAGAGGCUGUGCUGGCUGGGGGCCGUGCCCCAUCCUCCGGAGGUGCAGCCAGGCGUUGCAGUGUUGGGAAAGCGUGGGCAUGGGAGGUUGUUCAGAUGCUUCAGCACGCUGUGGAGGUAAGUUGGCGCUGACUGCGGUUAUCAGCUGCUGAUGGUGGUUAUCGUGCUGUACUUCCUCAUAGUCUGCAAAGCAUGUAGGCUGCUCCAGAAAGCCUGUGAGGCCAAGGUGAGAUGUCCUUUCGCCCCAGGCCCACCCUCCUCUGGCAUCCUGCUAGCUGGGUUCCCAGCCCAGAGGAAAGCUACCCUGUAUUUGAGGUGCGUUGUUAGGUUUUUCUUGGCGUCAGCCUGUCGGCUGGGAGAAAUGCCACGUUAGGAUUAGAUCUGAGAGCUGGUAAAGAUGAGGUCUGCCCCAGAGGAGUGAGGUUACCUUCUUCUGGAACAUGUAAAGAUGGAAUUUUGACACAGACUAAAGGAAUAGGGUUUCUGUUACAUUAUAAAUGGCAAAAAAAAACCAACCCUGCCACAUAGUCAUUUCUUGUCUUGA
RNAcentral lists this long non-coding RNA (1392 nucleotides) under Anser brachyrhynchus (Pink-footed goose). Its description in RNAcentral is "lncRNA (ENSABRG00000022789.1)". The record is from RNAcentral. Lineage: Eukaryota; Metazoa; Chordata; Aves; Anseriformes; Anatidae.